RNAcentral lists this transfer RNA (75 nucleotides) under Pyrinomonadaceae bacterium. RNAcentral describes it as "tRNA-Glu". It matches the Rfam family "tRNA". From Rfam's summary of the family: Transfer RNA (tRNA) molecules are approximately 80 nucleotides in length. Their secondary structure includes four short double-helical elements and three loops (D, anti-codon, and T loops). Further hydrogen bonds mediate the characteristic L-shaped molecular structure. tRNAs have two regions of fundamental functional importance: the anti-codon, which is responsible for specific mRNA codon recognition, and the 3' end, to which the tRNAs corresponding amino acid is attached (by aminoacyl-tRNA synthetases). tRNAs cope with the degeneracy of the genetic code in two manners: having more than one tRNA (with a specific anti-codon) for a particular amino acid; and 'wobble' base-pairing, i.e. permitting non-standard base-pairing at the 3rd anti-codon position. Lineage: Bacteria; Pseudomonadati; Acidobacteriota; Blastocatellia; Blastocatellales; Pyrinomonadaceae. The record is from RNAcentral.
GGCGCAUUGGUGCAGCGGUCAGCACGCAGCCCUCUCAAGGCUGAGACACGAGUUCGAUUCUCGUAUGCGCUACCA